This 253-nucleotide ribosomal RNA is filed under the name uncultured bacterium. RNAcentral describes it as "partial 16S ribosomal RNA". It matches the Rfam family "Bacterial small subunit ribosomal RNA", at positions 524 to 776 of the family's 1533-position model. The record is from RNAcentral.
GACAGAGGAGGCAAGCGUUAUCCGGAAUUAUUGGGCGUAAAGCGUUCGUAGGUGGUUUGACAAGUCUGGGGUUAAAGCCCGGAGCCCAACUCCGGAUCGGCCCUGGAAACUGUCAGACUUGAGUAAGGUAGGGGUUGCGGGAAUUCCCGGUGUAGCGGUGAAAUGCGUAGAUAUCGGGAAGAACACAAGCGGCGAAAGCGCGCAACUGGGCUAUUACUGACACUGAGGGACGAAAGCUAGGGGAGCGAAUGGG